UUGUGACGUCAUAAGGUGCCCUCGGUAACUUUAAAAGCAAGGUGAAAGCGCCUUGAGGACCACACAGGGGAAGAUUCGGCAGCCAAGCAGAGAAACAAGACGAGGACGGACCAACAGGAACAAUUUUAAGCAUAAUGAAGUCGCACGUUUACACAGUUCUGUUCGUAUCCUGUUUACUACUAUGUCUAGCCGUCAGCGAGGUCGAAAUGCUCCACAGAAAGUUCUUCCGAUUUGGGCGGGGCCUCCAAAAAAAGAACAGGGUUCCCGUGUUCGAGAAUGACUAUGACGACGACUUGUACCGAGACCGAUGGCAGGAGCUUCUUCACAAAGGAUACUUGAACUCGCUCCAGGUCCCAACGGACGAUAGAGAUCAACGGACAACGAGAAACUAGGAAAAUUGAAGGCGCCUUCGCUUGAUUAACUUGGAAAGGAAAAAGAAAGAACUUAACCUGGAAAUUCCAUAUUCCUGGAUAUGAAAAAGUGGGUCAUUUACGACGCGUCAAUCUUCUCUCGCCGCCGCCAUCUUUACAGACACCGAGUAUUAUUUCUUCAUAAGAAAUUAUCAAAAUAUUGGAAUGCAUAUAUCUAUUUUAACUAAUAUAGACAUUGGCAGAGUAGAGUCAAAGUAUAAUGUGUAAAUAGAUCACAAAAAAUGUCAAAACCUCAAAGGUUCUUUUGAAAAAUAAAGAAAAAUAUUAUAUUGA
Nematostella vectensis (starlet sea anemone) is the source of this 704-nucleotide long non-coding RNA. RefSeq lists it as uncharacterized. The record is from RefSeq and is a predicted model, not a curated record. The transcript has 4 exons. Lineage: Eukaryota; Metazoa; Cnidaria; Anthozoa; Actiniaria; Edwardsiidae.